This is a long non-coding RNA of Grus americana (Whooping crane), 200 nucleotides long. RefSeq lists it as uncharacterized. Lineage: Eukaryota; Metazoa; Chordata; Aves; Gruiformes; Gruidae. The transcript is spliced from 3 exons. The record is from RefSeq and is a predicted model, not a curated record.
GGAACAGCCGCCUCAACCAGGAGCAGGAGACGUCCCUGCACAUCUCAGCUCCCUUUUUCCACAAUGCCCGUCCCUGGAUGGUUGGUGUGGGGGUGCUCCUCGUGCUUUCACUUGUGUUCCUUGGCCUCGCUGCUUAUCUGUGGAGAAGGAAAGUGCUGCAGUCCAGAGAGCUGGGUGAGUCCUUCUGGCCCCUUCCCCCA